This 418-nucleotide unclassified non-coding RNA is filed under the name fungal sp. Its description in RNAcentral is "partial internal transcribed spacer region". The stretch from base 1 to 46 matches the Rfam family "Eukaryotic small subunit ribosomal RNA", at positions 1786 to 1831 of the family's 1831-position model. The record is from RNAcentral. RNAcentral also lists the same sequence under 1 other name. Lineage: Eukaryota; Fungi.
AAGUCGUAACAAGGUUUCCGUAGGUGAACCUGCGGAAGGAUCAUUAUCAUCCUUUUUUUUUGGUUAUUGGCAACAGUAACCAAAAAAAUAUAAACCAAUCGUGAACCGUACUGCCUCCAAUGAAGACUUCUUCUACAAAUGUCAUUUUUUCCUUUGGUACGCCCAAGGAGAGAAAGAGCACAAUUGCAGAAAAAUAUUGAGCAAUGAUUGGAAAAUGUUUUUCCAUCAUUACAGCCUCUCUUCAUUGGUUGUAUUUCUUUUCUUUAUUUUUACCAUUUGAACAACUCACUUCAAAAACAAUUGAACUGAAUUGUUCUCAUUUGUUGUUUUUCGCUCAGGCGAAAGACCAUUGAGAAUUACAAAUGUAUAAAAAGAAAAAAACAAAAAACAACUCUUAGCAACGGAUAUCUUGGUUCUC